CCUUCACCUUUUCAUCGAGGGUAGUAGUGUUGUGGCGAACAAAUUUAUAAAGAGAGUGCUUAACGGCGACUCUCGCAAGCUUUUCAGUGCUAACAUUAGCAGAGCGGAGGAGAGAGAGUUGCCCAGGGUCAAGUUCAGGGUAAGUCAAAUAAACAAAAUUCGAUAUAGCUAAGCCAAGAGCAGCAUCGCCGACGAACUCAAGGCGUUGAUACGACGGAGAAUCGGUGCAGGAAGAGUGCGUAAGAGCUUGUUCGAGAAGUUUCUUAUUCUUAAAAUUGUAGUCUAAAAUCUCCUCAACUGCCCUUAUGGAUGCCGCCAUAUCUGUGAUGAUAUAGUCAUCGUCGGGAAUUAAUGCGAUGCUCUUAUUGAUUGGAUUUGUCAGAAUGACGCAAGAUUCCGGUGACUCCAUCAUAAUCCGGUGGGUCAGCG
This 429-nucleotide unclassified non-coding RNA is filed under the name Hevea brasiliensis (rubber tree). Lineage: Eukaryota; Viridiplantae; Streptophyta; Magnoliopsida; Malpighiales; Euphorbiaceae. The record is from RNAcentral.